AACUUAUUGUGUAUGUUCUGACUUGUUUUCUCCUCAUAGGUUGUAGCUCUGGCCAAUCAGAAACUGCUGGGAUUAGAUCCUGAACGGCUGAAUGCACAUGGAGGGGCUGUUGCACUGGGACAUCCACUAGGAUGCAGCGGUGCUCGUAUUUUAGUCACAUUAUUAGGGGUGUUGAGAGCAAAGAAGGGAAAGUAUGGAGUGGCAUCAAUAUGCAACGGAGGAGGAGGAGCAUCAGCACUUGUUCUUGAGUUCAUGUAAGCUCCUUGGUAAGCAUAGCAUUUAG
Molecule: long non-coding RNA, 283 nt
Organism: Raphanus sativus (radish)
Lineage: Eukaryota; Viridiplantae; Streptophyta; Magnoliopsida; Brassicales; Brassicaceae
Exons: 3
Source: RefSeq, a predicted model, not a curated record